CAGCCGCCGCGGGAAUACGAAGGGUGCAAGCGUUACUCGGAAUUACUGGGCGUAAAGCGUGCGUAGGUGGUGGUUUAAGUCCGUUGUGAAAGCCCUGGGCUCAACCUGGGAAUUGCAGUGGAUACUGGGUCACUAGAGUGUGGUAGAGGAUAGUGGAAUUUCCGGUGUAGCAGUGAAAUGCGUAGAGAUCGGAAGGAACAUCUGUGGCGAAGGCGACUAUCUGGGCCAACACUGCCACUGAGGCACGAAAGCGUGAGGAGCAAACAGGAUUAGAGACCCCUGUAGUCCUGUCUCUUAUACA
RNAcentral lists this ribosomal RNA (301 nucleotides) under uncultured bacterium. Its description in RNAcentral is "partial 16S ribosomal RNA". It matches the Rfam family "Bacterial small subunit ribosomal RNA", at positions 509 to 809 of the family's 1533-position model. The record is from RNAcentral.